CCUACGGGCGUCAGCAGUGGGGAAUAUUGGGCAAUGGGCGCAAGCCUGACCCAGCAACGCCGCGUGAAGUAAGAAGGCUUUCGGGUUGUAAACUUCUUUUAAGGGGGAAGAGCAGAAGACGGUACCCCUUGAAUAAGCCACGGCUAACUACGUGCCAGCAGCCGCGGUAAUACGUAGGUGGCAAGCGUUGUCCGGAUUUACUGGGUGUAAAGGGCGUGCAGCCGGAGAGACAAGUCAGAUGUGAAAUCCACGGGCUCAACCCGUGAACUGCAUUUGAAACUGUUUCCCUUGAGUGUCGGAGAGGUAAUCGGAAUUCCUUGUGUAGCGGUGAAAUGCGUAGAUAUAAGGAAGAACACCAGUGGCGAAGGCGGAUUACUGGACGAUAACUGACGGUGAGGCGCGAAAGCGUGGGGAGCAAACAGGAUUAGAUACCCCGGUAGUC
This 442-nucleotide ribosomal RNA is filed under the name uncultured bacterium. RNAcentral describes it as "partial 16S ribosomal RNA". It matches the Rfam family "Bacterial small subunit ribosomal RNA", at positions 338 to 795 of the family's 1533-position model. The record is from RNAcentral.